This 1013-nucleotide long non-coding RNA is filed under the name Mus pahari (shrew mouse). RNAcentral's name for it is "RIKEN cDNA D930032P07 gene (MGP_PahariEiJ_G0004205.1)". Lineage: Eukaryota; Metazoa; Chordata; Mammalia; Rodentia; Muridae. The record is from RNAcentral.
CACCCCCGGCGCGAGCGAGCGAUCGCAACAAAACAAAACAAAUUCGUGCCGGCUUCCUGUUGUGCAACCUCUUUCUGAAUGGGGUGUUGGAGGGAGGGUGGACUUUGGAAUCGGGAAAACCUGGAAAUCUCAACUCCACUACUUCCUCCGAAGAUUAGAGGUUGUACCCUGGCCCAUUGAGGACUUCAGUCCUGCUCUCUGAGGCUUUGUAAAGGGCAGGUCUCCAGCAGAAGGUGUGGCCCAGAUUAAAGGUGUAUGCCGCCACACCUGGAUCUGGGACUUGCUUUGUCCCAGAUGACCUUGAACUCAGAGAUCUCCUUGCCUUAGUCUCCUGGGAUUCAUAGCCACUAUGCCUCAAGAUCUCCAGGCCAAGAUCCAGGUCAGAAACUUGUAUCUCCCAACCUCAAGAUCUGGAUCACAGAGCCGAACAUUACCCCUCUUUGGAGAGUUCGGUGCAUGCUGAUGACGAGUGGAUGUAUCACAAAGACACACCAGUAUAUGAAGAGCCUUCUGUUGGAAGCUACCAAGUGGCACUGUAAGAAGAAGCACCAUCUUAUCCCGGUUGUUUAUAUUAGUUCUCUACGGGUUCUGUCACAAAGGAUGGUAGACUGCUGACUUCAGACAACGGGAUUCAUUUUCUUACAGUUCAAGAGGCUGAUUUACUCCAAGGAUUUCUCAUGCCCUUUGGAGUCCUAUCCUGUCCCUAAUUAGUCUAGAAGAAACUCUGACAUCCCACCUUUGUCUAAAUAUCUUAAAACAGAACUCUCACAAGGGAAGACAUUUCCCAAAUCAGUAUCAUAGAAUAGACAUGCCUUGCUAGACGUCCUCUGUUACCCUUGAGACCUGACUCUCAGCAUCCGUUAUUGAUUUCAACUUCUCUGUGGAACAAUUCCUCCAAUGGUUUAGUUGAGUACAAGGCUACCCAGCUAAAGACAGGAUAUAGUAAUAUAUAAUAUAAUAUAAUAUGAUAUAAUAUACAUUCAUAUAUAAUAAAAAUUAUUCCUGUUUGCCUG